GCUACAGGACAGGAAGGCCAGGAGGCCAGGACUGAGUUGAAAAACAACAUCCUAGCUUUUUCCAGAAUUACGAGGAGGUCCUAACUGAGGAAUGAUUUAGAUAAUGAAGAAGAGGUGACAAAGGGGGAAAUUUUUACCACCAAAGAUGAAUGCGUUUUCACCAGGGGGAAGAUUUUGUUAUGAUCCCCGUGGGGAAACUGUAAACCAAGAUAACCAAAUUUACUGAACGACGCCAAAAUGAAGAAAUGACCAACAAGAUUCCACUGUUUGUAGCUUCUAUUUUAAUUUGUAUUGUUUCUGAUUUGUGUUAAUCAUGAAUUAACAGGCAAAUUAUAUUUCAAAUA
Carcharodon carcharias (great white shark) is the source of this 344-nucleotide long non-coding RNA. RefSeq lists it as uncharacterized. Lineage: Eukaryota; Metazoa; Chordata; Chondrichthyes; Lamniformes; Lamnidae. The record is from RefSeq and is a predicted model, not a curated record. The transcript is spliced from 3 exons.